CUUAUAUUAAGAAGCCAUGGUGUCAGCAUGGCCUAAGGACAAGUCAGUCUUUCUUCAUUUGCCAAGCCUCCCAGGUAGCCACUAGACUGCCAUUCAGUAAGGCUUUCACAAAGUCCUAGGCUCUAGCCCUGCCAUUUGCAGAUCCAGCCAACCAGCCCAUUCUGCAAAUUCUUGAGUAUGGGUCACAGCCAUAGUUGCUGAUCCAGGAAUUUGCUGAAUUUGGAUAUGAAAGCAUCGAUUUCAGUAGAUCUGGCCAACUUCAUCAAAUAACAAAUCAUGGGGAGUCAUCUGUCUGUCCUUCCUGUCCUGAUCCUGGGGAGAUGAAAUCCUCAAAGUCCAUUCUUAAGUCAGUGAGGAGCUCUACACGAGGGCAAGAAGAGAUGUUGUUAAG
Perognathus longimembris pacificus (Pacific pocket mouse) is the source of this 391-nucleotide long non-coding RNA. RefSeq lists it as uncharacterized. The transcript has 2 exons. NCBI's taxonomy places the organism in Eukaryota, Metazoa, Chordata, Mammalia, Rodentia, Heteromyidae. The record is from RefSeq and is a predicted model, not a curated record.